AAUAAGAUGCCUGAGGAAAAGGGCUAUCUUGAUAGGAUAGAUUAUACAAUUAAAUUGUUCUUAUUA
This 66-nucleotide transfer RNA is filed under the name Grypocephalus pallipectus. Its description in RNAcentral is "tRNA-Ile". The record is from RNAcentral. Lineage: Eukaryota; Metazoa; Arthropoda; Insecta; Hemiptera; Alydidae.